ACAAGUCUUUUUUUUUUUCUGCUUAUGUAAAGUCUACAGAAAAAUCCUAUCAAGUUUGGGCCAAGCCAAUUUAUUUUCCAAAUAAUGAACACUAAAUAUCAACUACUUUGAGAAAUUCAUCACGUUUCCCAUAAUUGGUUUAGCCCACCUGUUGCUAAAUAUAAUCAACCAGAAUCACAAACAUCAUGAACUGAGAAGGCAAUACUUGGCUCAGGUGUUGCAGAUGCUUCCAAAACAAGGGGAGGCAGCAUCAAGAGUUCAGUGAAGCAAGGACCAGAGUUCAAUUCCCAGUACUAAAUAAAACAAACAAAUACACA
RNAcentral lists this long non-coding RNA (317 nucleotides) under Fukomys damarensis (Damara mole-rat). RNAcentral describes it as "lncRNA (ENSFDAG00000028764.1)". The record is from RNAcentral. Lineage: Eukaryota; Metazoa; Chordata; Mammalia; Rodentia; Bathyergidae.